Long non-coding RNA from Lolium perenne, 892 nucleotides. RefSeq lists it as uncharacterized. The record is from RefSeq and is a predicted model, not a curated record. NCBI's taxonomy places the organism in Eukaryota, Viridiplantae, Streptophyta, Magnoliopsida, Poales, Poaceae.
UGCCGAGAGGCAGGCGGCCAAGGAUGCUGGUGUGAUUGCUGACAUGAAUGUUUCUAGGAUCAUCAAUGAGCCAACUGUUGCUGCUAUUGCCUGGGGUUUGGACAAGAGGGCGGUGGUACCUUUGAUGGUAGGAGUGGAGUUGGUCCUAGAUAAUAGGGAGCCAUGACUGCCGGAUCUGGCAUGACCCGACUGUUCAUGCUCGCUCUUGAGGAGAUAAAUUUUUAUGUGUUCACAUAUAUCCAUGUGAUUAUUGCAGCAUCUGGGAAGGUUGUUGAGCCGAGCGGAAGCGACAAGUGCUUGCUGCUGUUGUUGAACACUUGAACUAGCAAACAUCUAGCUAGAAGAGUGAGGAGCUUGCUUAUGUGAUUAUUGCAGCAUCUGGGAAGGUUGUUGAGCCGAGCAGAAGCGACAAGUGCUUGCUGCUGUUGUUGAACACUUGAACUAGCAAACAUCUAGCUAGAAGAGUGACGAGCCUGCUUGCAGCAAGACAGGCAUGCACGGCACAUCAGCCAUGAAGUGGUGCCCAACUGCCCAUGGAGUGGACAAGCUACAGGCUAUUCAUUCUUAAAUGAAAUGAAGUUGCUGAUGUAUGUGCGUAAUAGGAUAGUAGGCUUCAGGGUGUAUAGAUUGAUUCAUUGGAUACUACUGUGAGUGAUCAUAGUGAUGUUGAAGAUGUUGGGUAGAUAGAUUGAUUCAUUGGCUACUACCAUGAGUGUCCAUUUUCUUAUACGAUUUGUCUUUUAUUUUUGUGUGUAACACCAAACCUGUCUGAUCACUGGCAUAUGUUUAUGAAAGCAUCGCUCAGCUUAGAGAGAAAAUGUCUAUCUGUUUCGUUAUACAGAUUGGUAGGAAAGGUAAUGGGGUCGCCCAUGACCUUGCUGCUAUUAGUAGG